Molecule: transfer RNA, 90 nt
Filed under: bacterium
Lineage: Bacteria
Description: tRNA-Ser
Rfam family: tRNA
About the family: Transfer RNA (tRNA) molecules are approximately 80 nucleotides in length.
Source: RNAcentral
GGACAGGUGUCAGAGUGGUCGAAUGAGCACGCUUGGAAAGCGUGUGUGCGUGUGAGCGCACCGUGGGUUCGAAUCCCACCCUGUCCGCCA